AAAGCAGGUCGAGUGGCUGCCGUGCGUAAAAUACACGGAGGAAAGUCCGAACUCCAUAAGGCAGGACGGUUGUUAAAAACAACCGAGAGUAAUCUCAGGGAAAGUGCCACAGAAAAUUACCGCCUAAUUCUAAGACGAAUAAGUCUGUGAGCUAGGUAAGGUUGAAAAAGCGAGGUAAGAGCUCACUGGCUAUAAUGGAGACAUUACAGCAAGGUAAACCCCGUCCGGAGAAAGGUCAAAUAGUUUACGCCUAUCAGGCAGCCUGUCUGAUUCAUCUUCUAUAAGAUGAAGGCGUAAGGGUAUAGACCGCUAAAAAUUAAGAGCAAUCUUGAUUUCAGAUGAAUGGCCACAUAAACAGAAUUCGGCUUAUGACCUGCUUUUUUU
RNAcentral lists this RNase P RNA (384 nucleotides) under Candidatus Magnetovum chiemense. RNAcentral describes it as "Candidatus Magnetoovum chiemensis Bacterial RNase P class A". It matches the Rfam family "Bacterial RNase P class A". Rfam says of the family: Ribonuclease P (RNase P) is a ubiquitous endoribonuclease, found in archaea, bacteria and eukarya as well as chloroplasts and mitochondria. Lineage: Bacteria; Pseudomonadati; Nitrospirota; Nitrospiria; Nitrospirales; Nitrospiraceae. The record is from Rfam by way of RNAcentral.